This 602-nucleotide long non-coding RNA is filed under the name Hordeum vulgare. Its description in RNAcentral is "long non-coding RNA (HVUL_LNC013670)". Lineage: Eukaryota; Viridiplantae; Streptophyta; Magnoliopsida; Poales; Poaceae. The record is from RNAcentral.
GAUCAGCAGGAGCAGGCUCUCAACAAACCGGCCCUUUGCUUCAGCUUCCCAUACUCAUGUGAGCUAAUAGCUAUUUUUUUUUGUUAUAUCUCAUCUUGCAAGUUGAAAUAAGCUUGUGAAUUGAAAACGCCACAUGUCUUUUGUAAUGACAUGGUUUCCUUCCUCGUUUUUCUUCUAACGAAUACUAUCGCAGGGUGCGUGCCGGCAUGGAUGUGGAGCAACCAGAUGUGAGAGAAGCACAUAUAUGCUUACAGUGAGUUAUACAUCGUUCCCGUAAGAAAAUAAGGCAUGCUUAUUACAGCAUGAAUCUGCUAUGUCACUAUGUGUGUGUAAUUUUUCUUGUUCAAGUUGAUGACCUGCGCCAAUGUUGUGUUGUGUUGUGUGUGGACCGGGGUGGUAGCUCCAAUGCCACUAGUAGCAGGACGCAUAUGAGAUAAUAACAUGUGUAUGUAUGGCAAAAUUUGAAUAGCCUUUCGGCCGGAGCGAAGGUGUGUGACCAUGACAAAAUUUGAAUUGCCUUUCGGCCGGAGCGAAGGUGUGUGACCAUGAAUGAUACCGGUAAGAGAUAAUUUUCAGCAGCGACACACAAAUUUUCUCCCGCA